This 494-nucleotide ribosomal RNA is filed under the name uncultured bacterium. RNAcentral's name for it is "partial 16S ribosomal RNA". It matches the Rfam family "Bacterial small subunit ribosomal RNA", at positions 28 to 507 of the family's 1533-position model. The record is from RNAcentral.
GACGAACGCUGGCGGCGUGCUUAACACAUGCAAGUCGAACGGUGAAGCGCCUUCCUUUUUGGUGGGUGUGGAUGAGUGGCGAACGGGUGAGUAACACGUGAGUAACCUGCCCCCUUCUUCUGGAUAACCGCAUGAAAGUGUGGCUAAUACGGGAUAUUCUGGGUCUGUCGUAUGAUGGGUCUGGGAAAGAUAUUGUUUCGGUGGGGGAUGGGCUCGCGGCCUAUCAGCUUGUUGGUGGGGUGAUGGCCUACCAAGGCGGUGACGGGUAGCCGGCCUGAGAGGGUGGACGGUCACACUGGGACGGAGACACGGCCCAGACUCCGACGGGAGGCAGCAGUGGGGAAUAUUGCACAAUGGGCGCAAGCCUGAUGCAGCGACGCCGCGUGAGGGAUGGAGGCCUUCGGGUUGUGAACCUCUUUCGCCAGUGAAGCAGGCCUGCCUCGUUUGUGGGUGGGUUGACGGUAGCUGGAUAAGAAGCGCCGGCUAACUACGUG